AAGUUUAGUAUUCACAUCCAUUGGUAUUUACAUAGGCUUGGGUGCUGACAAUCCUACCUCUGAGAUAAGUUCCAAAUAAUACUUUCUUUGGUUCACAAGAUUCCUGCUUUUGACCUGGCAAACUCAAUGCCAAAUAAGUGUUGUAGAUCACCUAGGUCCUUUAUUUUGAAGGCUUUGCCGAGAGAAUUUUUUGUCUCUUGAAUCAGUUUCAAGCUGUCACCAGUGACUAAGAUGUCAUCAACAUAGACCAAGACAAUAACAGUUCUUUCACUUGUUUUGUUGAUGAAUAAGGAAUGGUCAUGCUGACUUUGCCUAAACAUUAACUUCAAUAAUGCUUCUGAAAGCUUUUCAUUCUAUUGUCUUGGUGCUUGUUUAAGCCCAUACUAGGAUUUGACAAGUCUGCAUACUCUUGGAUUCUGUACAUUCUACAUACUCUUGGAUUCUGUACAUUCUUCCCCUGACUUGAAAAACCUUGUGGAAGGGUCAUGCAAAUUUCACCAAGUAGAUCACCUUGCAAAAAGGCAUUGUAUACAUCCAUUUGAUGUAUAUUAAAGUUGUUUGCAGCAGCUAAUGAGAGUAUAGUUCUUACUGUAACCAUUUUUACAACUGGAGAAAAAGUCUUUCGAAAAUCAAUACCUUCCCAUUGGCUAUAGCCUUUUGCCACCAAUCUAUCCUUGAACCUUUCCACCUCACCUGAAGCCUUGUAUUUAAUCGUAUAUACCCAUUUACAACCUAUUGGUUAUCUACCGAGAGGUAAAUCUGUAAUCUCCCAUGUAUGAUUGUCUUCUAAGGCUUGAAUCUCUUCUUUCAUAGCCUUGAUCCACCUAGGAUCUUCGACUGCUUGAGAGUAGUUGGAUGGUCCAGUCUCAGUUGAUAUGGAAGAAAUAUAGGCAUGAUACUUAGGAGAAACAUGCUGAUAUCCAUCGUAUUUGUUUAGAGCAUAUGGUGUAUCAGUAUGUAUGUUCAAGGAUACAAAAUUCUUCAUCCAUAUAGGAGGAUGCUUUGUUCUACUUGAUUGUCUGGUCUCAGUUGGUGGUUGAACUACAUUUGGUUGUGCUGCUUGUGGUAUAGGAUCAGCUAGGGGUUGAUUAUGUUGAUUCUCAGCAUUAGAAACCUCUUUAUUAUCAGUAGUAUGAUUCAUGAUGACAUCAAUGGGAUCAUGGUAUUUUAUAUGUGACUCCUCUAUCAUGUGUUGAGUAGUAUUUGGAGCAGAUAUUGGAAGAAAACUAUGCAGCUCAUUUGUCAUCCAUUGUGUCUCAGAUUGAUUGAUAGGAAAUAGUGCAUGAUUUUCUGUACUUUUUGCUGCAAAAGGAAAGAUAUCUUCUCUAAAACGCACAUCUCUGUUGACUAAGAAAGAAUUAGUAGCAAUAUCAAAUAAGACACAUUUUUUUUGAACCUCUGAGUAGCCCAUGUGAAUUGCUAUUUUUCCUCUUGUCAUAAGUUUAUCUUGCUCUUGAAGUAUUUUAGCAAAACAUAGGCACCCUAUUACUCUAAGAUGAUUUAAGACUUGGUUUUCUACCAUACAGUUUCUCAUAAGGUAACACAUUAUUGAUAACUGUACUUGGCAAUCUGUUUAUCAAAUAGACAGCAGCUAAAGUACGCAAUGUCCCGGAAACUUGAUUGGAAUUUUACCUUGAAAUCUAAUAGCCCUGGUAAUCUCCAAUAUGUGCCUAUGUUUCCUCUCAGCAACCCCAUUUUGCUGAGGGGUAUAAACACAAGUUUUAUGAUGAAUUAUGCCUAAAGAAACAAAUAAUUGCUCACAUAUUGUAUUAAGGAAUUCUGUUCCAUUAUUUGUUCGGAUAGUUUUCAUAGUCUCGUUAAGCUGAGUUUGAGCAAAUAUAAGAAAUGCUUAAGGGAUAAACAUACAUCUGAUAUUUGCUUAAGUAAAAACAACCAAGUCAUUCUAGUGUAAUUAUUAACAGUAGUAAGGAAGUACUUGUUACCAUCAAAAGUUGUUGUUUUAUAAGGUCCCCACAAGUCUACAUGAAUCAAAUCAAAUGAACCAGUACUUUCUAUGCUACUAGAAGGAAAAGGUAAUCUUGCUUGUUUAGGACAAAGGCAUACAAUGCACUUAGUUACACACUCUUUAGUACUUUGUAUACUAGCAGGUAACAGUUUCUUAAGGGCUAUAGAUGACACAUGUCCACAUCUUCUAUGCCAUAAGCCUAUAUCACAGUUGUUUUCCUCAGUGAUUGCCGCAUUUUCUCUUGCCUCCAUAGAAUUAUUGAGUAUGUUAUGAUUAGCAUUUGACAUAAGCAGAAUUGUUUAUGUCAAUUAGAUCCCAGAAUACACAGAAUUCAGGUAAGAACAGUGCAGAACAUUUAAGUUCUUUUGUGAUCUUAGAUUCACAUAAUAAGUUGAACUUAAAUGAGGUAUGUGAAAGACAUCAAAUAAUGUAUUUCUGUCUGAAAUAGAGCAUUUUCCUGUAUGAGUUGUGUUACAUCUCCAUUUGGCAAGCAAACUCUCUUUGAAUAUGUAAUUUUAACUACUGAUUUCUUAUUCAAUAGUUAAAUGUCUGAUACCAUAUGAUUAGUUGCAUAUGUGUCUAUAAUCCAUUCAUGCACACCAUCAGUUACUAUAAAGGACUUAGGCAUACCUGCAAUGUUUGUUGAAGGUGCUGAAGUGGAUGUGGUGUUUGAGCCUUUGUUCAAGAGUUGCAGGAUUUGUUCAUACUGCUCAUUUGUAGAAUAGCCUCCAAACUGCUUUGUCUGUUUUGUGGUGUCUGUCAUGUGCAUUUGAGAGUUUGAACUUUCACUUGCCUCAACAUUUGAGUAUGUAUUCUGAGGACACACAUUUGUGCUAUGAGCAUAGCUUAACUGGACUGGGCUGUAAAUGCUCUCCAAACUGUUGUGGAAAUUGUCCAAACUGUAUAGUUGAACCAGCAGCAGUACCACCAGCAUCAGAUUGACAUUAUAUGCUGCAUUAUUUCCUGGUCCUUUCCUUUUAAACUUAAAGUCUGUAGGAUAGCCAACCACUCGAUAACAAGUUUCUUUACUGUGAGCUUUCCUCUUGCAUACCUCACAUACCAGAUUAUAAUUCUUCUUGAACUUUUGAGGCUGUCCUUGUCCAUUUUGAUUCCUAUUGUACAUAUCCAAGUCAUGAUUGUUUACAGCAUUGGCCUAAUUAUUACUCAAAACACCAGAAGUAGCAGCUACACUCCUUUGACUCU
Lycium barbarum (goji berry) is the source of this 3169-nucleotide long non-coding RNA. RefSeq lists it as uncharacterized. The transcript has 2 exons. The record is from RefSeq and is a predicted model, not a curated record. NCBI's taxonomy places the organism in Eukaryota, Viridiplantae, Streptophyta, Magnoliopsida, Solanales, Solanaceae.